CCUACGGGAGGCAGCAGUGAGGAAUAUUGGUCAAUGGGCGUAAGCCUGAACCAGCCAAGUCGCGUGAGGGAUGAAGGUUCUAUGGAUCGUAAACCUCUUUUAUAAGGGAAUAAAGUGUGGGACGUGUCCUGUUUUGUAUGUACCUUAUGAAUAAGGAUCGGCUAACUCCGUGCCAGCAGCCGCGGUAAUACGGAGGAUCCGAGCGUUAUCCGGAUUUAUUGGGUUUAAAGGGUGCGUAGGCGGCCUUUUAAGUCAGCGGUGAAAGUCUGUGGCUCAACCAUAGAAUUGCCGUUGAAACUGGGAGGCUUGAGUAUGUUUGAGGCAGGCGGAAUGCGUGGUGUAGCGGUGAAAUGCUUAGAUAUCACGCAGAACCCCGAGUGCGAUGGCAGCCUGCCAAGCCAUGACUGACGCUGAUGCACGAAAGCGUGGGGAUCAAACAGGAUUAGAUACCCGGGUAGUC
RNAcentral lists this ribosomal RNA (460 nucleotides) under uncultured bacterium. Its description in RNAcentral is "partial 16S ribosomal RNA". It matches the Rfam family "Bacterial small subunit ribosomal RNA", at positions 338 to 795 of the family's 1533-position model. The record is from RNAcentral.